Colius striatus (speckled mousebird) is the source of this 632-nucleotide long non-coding RNA. RefSeq lists it as uncharacterized. The record is from RefSeq and is a predicted model, not a curated record. The transcript is spliced from 3 exons. Lineage: Eukaryota; Metazoa; Chordata; Aves; Coliiformes; Coliidae.
GACUGUUAAAAAGCUUAAAAUUGUUAGCUAUUAAUGCAUUAAAUUACUUGUCUCUAAAGAAGUAUUAUUUUCAUCAAACAGGCCGUACUGGAUGCUCUUACUUAUUUUUGUCAAGACCUUCCUGAUGUGACCACUUAAAGCCUGGGGGCUGGAUUAUUCCACUGAAGUCAUCAACACAAUGCAUGUGAAAGGAAGAAGAUUCACCUCUCCCUCUAGUUAAGAGGAAACACAUAUGACCUGUUCAGCAGCAAUUCUUCUCAAGCAUCAAGAAGAUAUGGACCAGAAGCCAGCAGCACAGUGCCAGGCCCAGCCGCUCGCAGAUGUUCAAGAUAAUCAAAUAUUUAGCAGCCGUUGCUCUGGCAAAACACAGCGUCUGGCCAUGGCUGACAAAGCCGGGACAAAGCUGAGCUCCUUCCUCGCCUGGCCCCUGCCGCAGCAGUGGAGGUCCUCAGAGGACAGCCCUCGCCACAGGAAGCACGCGGGUUUCACCCACCGGUUGCCUGGGAGGAAGGGCCAAGUGUCUGUUACCUGCCAACACCAGGAGGAGUGGAAGAGCUGUUUGUUUAGGUGAGACUAGUGCUCUAUGAACUUUUUAAUUGCAAGGAGCAAGCUGCUAUUUUUAACUGUUAAAC